RNAcentral lists this ribosomal RNA (468 nucleotides) under uncultured bacterium. Its description in RNAcentral is "partial 16S ribosomal RNA". It matches the Rfam family "Bacterial small subunit ribosomal RNA", at positions 28 to 507 of the family's 1533-position model. The record is from RNAcentral.
GACGAACGCUGGCGGCGUGCUUAACACAUGCAAGUCGAACGGAAAGGCCCUGCUUUUGUUGGGUGCUCGAGUGGCGAACGGGUGAGUAACACGUGUGUAACCUGCCCUUGACUUUGGGAUAACUUCAGGAAACUGGGGCUCAUACCGGAUAGGAGCUCCUGCUGCAUGGUGGGGGUUGGAAAGUUUCGGCGGUUGGGGAUGGACUCGCGGCUUAUCAGCUUGUUUGUUGGGUAGUGGCUUACCAAGGCUUUGACGGGUAGCCGGCCUGUGAGGGUGACCGGGGACAUUGGGACGGAGAUACGGACCAGACUGCAACGGGAGGCAGCAGUGGGGAAUAUUGCACAAUGGGAGGAAGUCUGAUGCAGCAACGCCGCGUGCGGGAUGACGGCCUUCGGGUUGUAAACAGAUUUGGCAUGUGACGAAGAGUGAGUGACGGUAAUGGGUAAAGAAGCACCGGCUAACUACGUG